This 491-nucleotide ribosomal RNA is filed under the name Arcotheres ocularius. RNAcentral describes it as "partial large subunit ribosomal RNA". It matches the Rfam family "Bacterial large subunit ribosomal RNA", at positions 1860 to 2598 of the family's 2925-position model. The record is from RNAcentral. Lineage: Eukaryota; Metazoa; Arthropoda; Malacostraca; Decapoda; Pinnotheridae.
UGCUCUCUGAUUAUUAUUUAAAGGGCCGCGGUAAUUUGACCGUGCAAAGGUAGCAUAAUAGUUAGUUUUUUAAUUGAAAUCUUGUAUGAAUGGUUGAACAAAAGAAAUACUGUCUCUAUAAUUUUUGUUAAAUUUAACUUUUAAGUGAAAAGGCUUAAAUUAAUCAAAAAGACGAUAAGACCCUAUAAAGCUUUAUAAAUAAUUUUAUUAUAUUUGAUUUGUUAAUAAUAUUUUAAUAAAUUAUAUUAUUUUGUUGGGGAGAUAAUAUUAUAAUUAUAGGUAACUGUAAGUUAUUAGUACAAUUAUAGGUGUAUCAAACAGUAAAAGAUCCUAUUGUAUAGAGUAAAAGUUUAAGUUACUUUAGGGAUAACAGCGUUAUUUUUCUUGAGAGUUCAUAUCGAAAGAAAAGAUUGCGACCUCGAUGUUGAAUUAAAAUUUCUAAAUAAUUGUAGCAGUUAUUUAAGGAGGUCUGUUCGACCUUUAAAGUUUUA